CAGCAUGGUCUUAGCUUGCUAAGGCCGAUGGCGACCGGCGCACGGGUGAGUAACACGUAUCCAACCUUCCGUCUACUCUUGGACAGCCUUCUGAAAGGAAGAUUACUACAAGAUGGCAUCAUGAGUCCGCAUGUUCACAUGAUUAAAGGUAUUCCGGUAGACGAUGGGGAUGCGUUCCAUUAGAUAGUAGGCGGGGUAACGGCCCACCUAGUCUUCGAUGGAUAGGGGUUCUGAGAGGAAGGUCCCCCACGUUGGAACUGAGACACGGUCCAAACUCCUACGGGAGGCAGCAGUGAGGAAUAUUGGUCAAUGGGCGAGAGCCUGAACCAGCCAAGUAGCGUGAAGGAUGACUGCCCUAUGGGUUGUAAACUUCUUUUAUAAAGGAAUAAAGUCGGGUAUGGAUACCCGUUUGCAUGUACUUUAUGAAUAAGGAUCGGCUAACUCCGUGCCAGCAGCCGCGGUAAUACGGAGGAUCCGAGCGUUAUCCGGAUUUAUUGGGUUUAAAGGGAGCGUAGAUGGAUGUUUAAGUCAGUUGUGAAAGUUUGCGGCUCAACCGUAAAAUUGCAGUUGAUACUGGAUAUCUUGAGUGCAGUUGAGGCAGGCGGAAUUCGUGGUGUAGCGGUGAAAUGCUUAGAUAUCACGAAGAACUCCGAUUG
This 656-nucleotide ribosomal RNA is filed under the name uncultured Bacteroides sp. RNAcentral's name for it is "bacterial SSU rRNA". It matches the Rfam family "Bacterial small subunit ribosomal RNA", at positions 67 to 715 of the family's 1533-position model. Lineage: Bacteria; Pseudomonadati; Bacteroidota; Bacteroidia; Bacteroidales; Bacteroidaceae. The record is from RNAcentral.